RNAcentral lists this long non-coding RNA (645 nucleotides) under Monodelphis domestica (gray short-tailed opossum). Its description in RNAcentral is "lncRNA (ENSMODG00000049542.1)". Lineage: Eukaryota; Metazoa; Chordata; Mammalia; Didelphimorphia; Didelphidae. The record is from RNAcentral.
GGGAUAGAUGUGAGGCAAGGCCAGUCCCAGGUCGGAGGUGUGGGGGUGGGGACUGUGCCCUUUCCCCUUGUUGCUGGUGGUGUAUCCCUUAAUGUGUGUUUGGAGCGCGAACCCCAAUUGCAGAGUGUGGCAAAAGCAAGGGCUCCAGCUGAAGGGAGGGGUGGAGGAAGGAGGUGUGUGGAAGAGCUGCGCAGGCCCAGAGUAAAAGGCAGGCCAGGAGGCUUGGAGCGCAGGCGCUCAGGGGCAGGCAGGUGGCACGCAGGCGCAGUAGGGGCAGGCAGGUGGCACGUGGCGGAGGGGGAGGGGAGCGGAAAGUUCCCGCCUUUUCUGUCAGAGCCUCCCUGUGUCGCUGUGCCUAGCAUUAAGGUCCGCCAAGGCAAAAGACUGGAAGUUGCAUGUGGACUGUGUGAGGUUUUCUCCCUCCCCUUGCCUUCCUUCCUGCUUUCUUCCCUCCCUGGUGAAAUGAAGGUCCCCUCAUGAAGGUGCUUCUGGAAGGUUUUCUCCCUGCCCUUGCCUUCCUUCCUGCUUUCUUCCCUCCCUGGUGAAAUGAAGGUCCCAUCAUGAAGGUGCUUCUGGAAGGUAAGUCUAAUGAAUCUAUUUCCACUCACCUUACUGGUAGUGGUGGAUGCCAGCCUCUUGUCAGCA